AGAAGGAAGGCGCCCUGCCUAUACCAUGGGCCAGCCCUGGUCUGAGAGGYGACAAUGAAAGACCGAGAACCGCAGGUUGUUUGGUCCUCGUUAAUCUGAGCAGCCCAUCAGUCRUGCAGCGCCACCGUAGAGACUCCUGCCCUUGGCAACCGUGCUCGUGGAGGAGAAGAAGAAGAAACACAAUACAGUAGGCCCUUAAUGGACGCAGAACGACUUCAGCCCGAGGAGGGGCUCUGGAAGAAAAAUGUGCUGGAGGUGAGAGGACAGAGCUUGGAAGGAAGAGGGCAAAGAGCAAAGACAACAAUGGGGGAAAUAAAACGUUGUCACCUAGAAAUUUAUUGUUUUAUCCAAAAAAUCGUGGAAUUUAAUGUCCAAUUAGUAUCUGUGGAAAUCCCACGGCUGGGAAAGGUUUCACCUCUCUGUUUUCUUUUCGAACAAUAUUUUUGAGACAUUGCAGAAUGAAGCAAUUAAAAUGCCUGCCAAGCUAUUUCAGGGGUGCCAGAGUUGUUGUUGGCCUCAGGUGUCCCCUGCAUGGACACAAUGUUGCAAACAUGACAGACACACACAAAAGAAGGAGCCGUAAGACUUAAUCUCAUCAACUAAUAUCGUUUAUUUUGUGGAUUUUUUGACAGAUUUCCCCCCCUCAUUCCUCUUGGAGUAUAAUCUGUCAACGUUAGCAGCUGUGAUCAGAUUAGGUGUGUGGCGAUGAAGGAUUUAGAUAAGAGCAAGUGUGUGAGGUCAGCACUGAUCUCUCCAACAGGGGCAGUCCGUCUCUUAAUGGGACCGGGGGUCUUAUCAGGGGAAUCUAAAGAGCUCCCUGAAGUUCACCUCGAUUUAACCGCAAUCUUUGGGUUGACACAUAUAUAACUCAGGGAUGUGCUCAGGAGCGAGGGUCAUUCGCUUUUACAAGAGUGAGAGCGUACAGUUUAACACGCAGACAAGUCAAAAUAUAUUUCAUUUG
This is a long non-coding RNA of Austrofundulus limnaeus, 961 nucleotides long. RefSeq lists it as uncharacterized. NCBI's taxonomy places the organism in Eukaryota, Metazoa, Chordata, Actinopteri, Cyprinodontiformes, Rivulidae. The record is from RefSeq and is a predicted model, not a curated record. The transcript is spliced from 3 exons.